CCUACGGGAGGCAGCAGUGAGGAAUAUUGGUCAAUGGACGAGAGUCUGAACCAGCGAAGUAGCGUGAAGGAUGACUGCCCUAUGGGUUGUAAACUUCGUUUAUAUGGGAAUAAAAUGUUCCACGUGUGGGAUAUUGUAUUGACCAUAUGAAUAAGGGACGGCUAGGUCAGUGCCAGGAGCGCCGGUAAUGCUGAAGAUACGAUCGUUAUGCGGAUUGAUUGGGUUUAAAGGGAGCGUAGGUGGUUUGUUAAGUCAGUUGUGAAAGUUUGCGGCUCAACCGUAAAAUUGCAGUUGAAACUGGCAGUCUUGAGUGCAUUAGAGGUGGGCGGAAUUCGUGGUGUAGCGGUGAAAUGCUUAGAUAUCACGAAGAACUCCGAUUGCAAAGGCAGCUCACUGGACUGCAACUGACACUGAGGCUCGAAAGUGUGGGUAUCAAACAGGAUUAGAUACCCGGGUAGUC
This 460-nucleotide ribosomal RNA is filed under the name uncultured bacterium. RNAcentral's name for it is "partial 16S ribosomal RNA". It matches the Rfam family "Bacterial small subunit ribosomal RNA", at positions 338 to 795 of the family's 1533-position model. The record is from RNAcentral.